GAUGAACGCUGGCGGCGUGCUUAACACAUGCAAGUCGAACGGAAAGGCCCAAGCUUGCUUGGGUACUCGAGUGGCGAGCGGGUGAGUAACACGUGGGUGAUCUGCCCUGCACUUCGGGAUAAGCCUGGGAAACUGGGUCUAAUACCGGAUAGGACCACAUUUUGGAUGGUGUGGUGGAAAGUUUUUCGGUGUGGGAUGAGCUCGCGGCCUAUCAGCUUGUUGGUAGGGUAAUGGCCUACCAAGGCGUCGACGGGUAGCCGGCCUGAGAGGGUGUACGGCCACAUUGGGACUGAUAUACGGCCCAGACUCCUACGGGGGGCAGGAGGGGGAAAUUUUGCACAAUGGGCGCAGGCCUGAUGCAGCGACGCCGCGUGGGGGAUGACGGCUUUCGGGUUGUAAACUCUUUUCGCUAGGGACAAGGCUUUUUUGGGAGGGACCUGGGAGAAGAAGCCCCGGCUAACUACG
Molecule: ribosomal RNA, 465 nt
Filed under: uncultured bacterium
Lineage: Bacteria
Description: partial 16S ribosomal RNA
Rfam family: Bacterial small subunit ribosomal RNA
Source: RNAcentral